GUUAAAAAGCUCGUAGUUGGAUUUCUGACGGCCUUAGCUCAGCUCGACUCCCUGAGUCGUUGCCUGUCUGAGGUAGUCAACAUUUGGCGUGGUCCAUUGUCGGGCUUUUAUUAGCACGCACUGGCGAUCGUCUCGUUUACUUUGAGAAAAUUAGAGUGUUCAAAGCAGGCUUCGCCUUGAAUAUGUUAGCAUGGAAUAAUGACAUAGGACUUUGGUUCUAUUUGUUGGUUGUUCGAGAACUAGAGUAAUGAUUGAUAGGGACGGUUGGGGGCAUACGUAUUCCGGGGCGAGAGGUGAAAUUCUUGGACCCCCGGAAGACGAACCGCUGCGAAAGCGUUUGCCUAGGACGUUCUCUUUAAUCAAGAACGAAAGUUGGGGGAUCGAAGACGAUCAGAUACCGUCGUAGUCUCAACUAUAAACUAUGCCAGCUAGGGAUCGGCGGAUGUUUUUUGAACGACUCCGUCGACACCUUACGAGAAACCAAAGCGUGUGGGUUCCGGGGGAAGUAUGGUUGCAAAGCUGAAACUUAAAGGAAUUGACGGAAGGGGCACCACCAGGAGCGGAGCCUGCGGCUUAAUUUGACUCAACACGGGAAAUCUCACC
RNAcentral lists this ribosomal RNA (603 nucleotides) under uncultured marine eukaryote. RNAcentral's name for it is "bacterial SSU rRNA". It matches the Rfam family "Eukaryotic small subunit ribosomal RNA", at positions 618 to 1219 of the family's 1831-position model. The record is from RNAcentral.